RNAcentral lists this ribosomal RNA (231 nucleotides) under Acinetobacter sp. Its description in RNAcentral is "partial 23S ribosomal RNA". It matches the Rfam family "Bacterial large subunit ribosomal RNA", at positions 2699 to 2925 of the family's 2925-position model. The record is from RNAcentral. Lineage: Bacteria; Pseudomonadati; Pseudomonadota; Gammaproteobacteria; Moraxellales; Moraxellaceae.
GGACGAACCUCUGGUGUACCGGUUGUGACGCCAGUCGCAUCGCCGGGUAGCUAUGUUCGGAAGGGAUAACCGCUGAAAGCAUCUAAGCGGGAAGCCUACCUCAAGAUAAGAUUUCCCUAGGAAUUUAUUCCUCUAAAGAGCCGUUCGAGACUAGGACGUUGAUAGGUUGGGUGUGGAAGCACGGUGACGUGUGAAGCUGACCAAUACUAAUUGCUCGUGAGGCUUGACUAU